AUUGAACGCUGGCGGCAUGCCUUACACAUGCAAGUCGAACGGCAGCAUAGGAGCUUGCUCCUGAUGGCGAGUGGCGAACGGGUGAGUAAUGUAUCGGAACGUGCCCUAGAGUGGGGGAUAACUAGUCGAAAGACUAGCUAAUACCGCAUACGAUCUACGGAUGAAAGUGGGGGAUCGCAAGACCUCAUGCUCCUGGAGCGGCCGAUAUCUGAUUAGCUAGUUGGUGGGGUAAAAGCUCACCAAGGCGACGAUCAGUAGCUGGUCUGAGAGGACGACCAGCCACACUGGGACUGAGACACGGCCCAGACUCCUACGGGAGGCAGCAGUGGGGAAUUUUGGACAAUGGGGGCAACCCUGAUCCAGCAAUGCCGCGUGAGUGAAGAAGGCCUUCGGGUUGUAAAGCUCUUUUGUCAGGGAAGAAACGGUUCUGGAUAAUACCUGGGACUAAUGACGGUACCUGGAGAAUAAGCACCGGCUAACUACGUGCCAGCAGCCGCAGUAA
RNAcentral lists this ribosomal RNA (502 nucleotides) under uncultured bacterium. RNAcentral describes it as "partial 16S ribosomal RNA". It matches the Rfam family "Bacterial small subunit ribosomal RNA", at positions 30 to 523 of the family's 1533-position model. The record is from RNAcentral.